RNAcentral lists this ribosomal RNA (543 nucleotides) under Thyonella gemmata. RNAcentral's name for it is "partial 16S ribosomal RNA". It matches the Rfam family "Bacterial large subunit ribosomal RNA", at positions 1809 to 2605 of the family's 2925-position model. The record is from RNAcentral. Lineage: Eukaryota; Metazoa; Echinodermata; Holothuroidea; Dendrochirotida; Cucumariidae.
AAAAACAUAGUCCCUUGACAAUACAUAAGGGAUAUCGCCUGCCCAGUGGAACUAAAUUCUAAAUGGCCGCGGUACCUUGACCGUGCAAAGGUAGCAUAAUCAUUUGUCUCUUAAAUGGAGACCAGUAUGAAUGGCAACACAUUUUUUAACUGUCUCUUUUCCUCACCUUCUAAACUUCUACUAAUGUGAAGAAGCAUUAAUAAAAAAGAAAGACGAGAAGACCCUGUCGAGCUUAAACUUCUACAAGAAACUCUUAACCUUUUAAAGAAACUACUUAUCUCUCUAGAAGCUUUGGUUGGGGUAACCAUGGAGUAAAACAAAUCUCCAGUAAAACUUUCAGAUUCUUAAUCAAAUAAUUAAUUAAACAAAUGAACCAGAAACUACUGGUAAACAGAAAAAGUUACCGCAGGGAUAACAGCGUCAUCUCCUUUAAGAGUCCAUAUUGACAAGGAGGAUUGCGACCUCGAUGUUGGAUUGGGGCCACCAUAGGGUGCAGCAGCUCUAUCUGGUUGGACUGUUCGUCCAUUAAAACCCUACGUGAUC